Esox lucius (northern pike) is the source of this 1747-nucleotide long non-coding RNA. The record is from Ensembl. NCBI's taxonomy places the organism in Eukaryota, Metazoa, Chordata, Actinopteri, Esociformes, Esocidae.
CAGAGAUCAACGCAAGAUUGUUUUCUACACAUUGGUAGAAAUGUUUAAUAAUAGGCAAAUGUUGGUUAAAAAAAAAAUACUAUAGUAUUUGUGUUAGUAUGGGGUUAUGCUGUCACUUCCGGGUGAAGAUGUGCUGCAUUCUCUUAAUGAACAACUCGUGAAAUCUGAUUUUAUAUUGCUGCAUUAUGGUCCUGUGUUUGUUAAAUGUUGAUCUAAAUAAUAUCGAUAUGGUGACAAAAGCAAGCGUUUAUAUGUAAGCAGAUGAGUUUAUCGUUAAUAUAUACAAUUAUAUGACGUGUGUCACGGCUGAGCCGCGAAAAUUAACGAGAACGGCUGUUCUACCAGACGUGAUAUAGCAAUAUAUUUGGUUGCCAAGUGGCUACAAAAUCAGAACUAAAUAGUUAAGUUUUAUCCUGAAUUUGUAUCAUUGCAGCAUGUAUAGUUCUAACACAAUUUGAAUCUAACGUGAAGAACGAUGACAUGUAACCAAUGACAAAGUUAAGAGGCGUGACUUGCUGGAGAAGCCCCGGCUGCGAUGUGAAGACAGUAAUUAAACCCCGCAGCAUCCGCAAAAGAAAGCUGGUGUUUCAAGCGUGGAGUAUAUCGUUUCUGAUGUAAGUACAAGUUAUUUUAUUUGAAGUAAUUUAUUUGAAUUGUGAUGCAACUUUUUAAGAAUUUUUACAAUUGCGCAAUCCAUUCAUUUUUAGCUGUCUUUCAUAUUGCCUGUUUAAAUCUCCGGUUUAGGUUGAGCGGAUUUGAACACCGACCGUGUUUGGUAAACACAUUUUUGGACCUCCAAAUCUUGGUAAGUAGACUUUUGACAUUAUUGUUAAUCAGCUUUAAUUACCUGUAUACGCUUGUUAAUCCUAUUUGUAUUUAGUUCAAGUGACCGGCAUCUGCAUCAGUUGGACUGGGUGGUCAGACUGUGAUCUUACACAACCUGAGCAGAUACUUUGUAUUGAGGACAGCCGGGUGAUGAGACAAAGUACAUUACCACAAUGGGGUCAGUUACGGACACCCGUCCUUGUGGUUGCACAGAGUGAGGGGGUUUUUGUUUUCUUUCAGGCUUGAAAGCUGAAGGUAAUACAGCCAACUCUUCAAAACUGCUGUAUGUAAAUGUAUGUUUGAGUUAGAAUAUUCGAAUCUGAAAAGUGGAUUGUUAUUUACACGUUAAACCAGAGAAAUGGCGAAAGAUAAUGCUAACGACAGUCCAGACACGGAACAGCCAACAACCUCUACAAAUAAUCAAUCGACCAUACCCCAAAAAAACAAAUGAACCAACCGCUACUUUGUUACACAGCGAUGCGCACAAUAAUCCUCAGAUACAAGGCGUGUUAACCGAGCUUAGUAGCCCCCAUUUUUCACACGAUCUAGUUGACACUCCUUCGAGCUCUCUGAUGCAAACUCAAUGCAGUGCUGGCGAUGUUAGAGUUAUACAGCGUAAUGCGUUUGACAAUGUUGAAUUACGACAGUUUAUAAAUUUACAAAAUACUGGUGAAGUUGGUGAUUUUGGCACAUUCUACACAAGUAUUAUGGCAGGCUUGGAUACUUUGAUUGUUAGAGCCUCAGACUUUGUACAAGGGCCCGGUGAUCGUCUGCAGAUUGAGUUGAUUGGUGAAUCUCUGAUAGAUCCCGUACAUGUGACCAUGAGAGCGGAUGAAUAUAAUGAACGCACGUUUGGUAAUUUACUUGAAAGUGUUAUGCAGAGUAAUACGGAGCUUAUGAUUGAUGAAUCACUAGAACUGGU